This 359-nucleotide ribosomal RNA is filed under the name uncultured bacterium. RNAcentral's name for it is "bacterial SSU rRNA". It matches the Rfam family "Bacterial small subunit ribosomal RNA", at positions 28 to 388 of the family's 1533-position model. The record is from RNAcentral.
GACGAACGCUGGCGGCGUGCUUAACACAUGCAAGUCGAGCGGUAAGGCCCUUUCGGGGGUACACGAGCGGCGAACGGGUGAGUAACACGUGGGUGACCUGCCCUCAGCUCUGGGAUAAGCCUGGGAAACUGGGUCUAAUACUGGAUAUGACUCCACGGUGCAUGUCGUGGGGUGGAAAGCCUUGUGCGGCUGAGGAUGGGCCCGCGGCCUAUCAGCUUGUUGGUGGGGNGAUGGCCUACCAAGGCGACGACGGGUAGCCGGCCUGAGAGGGCGACCGGCCACACUGGGACUGAGACACGGCCCAGACUCCUACGGGAGGCAGCAGUGGGGAAUCUUGCGCAAUGCGCGAAAGCGUGACG